AGUAUUGCGCAAUGGGGGAAACCCUGACGCAGCGACGCCGCGUGAGUGAUGAAGGUCUUCGGAUCGUAAAACUCUGUCCUCAGGGAAGAAACAAAUGACGGUACCUGAGGAGGAAGCCCCGGCUAACUACGUGCCAGCAGCCGCGGUAAUACGUAGGGGGCGAGCGUUGUCCGGAAUUAUUGGGCGUAAAGGGUGCGUAGGCGGUCCUUUAAGUCAGAUGUGAAAGGCUACGGCUUAACCGUAGUUAGCAUUUGAAACUAAAAGGCUUGAGUGCAGGAGAGGAGAGUGGAAUUCCUAGUGUAGCGGUGAAAUGCGUAGAUAUUAGGAGGAACACCAGUGGCGAAGGCGACUCUCUGGACUGCAACUGACGCUGAGGCACGAAAGCGUGGGGAGCGAACAG
This 400-nucleotide ribosomal RNA is filed under the name uncultured bacterium. RNAcentral describes it as "partial 16S ribosomal RNA". It matches the Rfam family "Bacterial small subunit ribosomal RNA", at positions 359 to 775 of the family's 1533-position model. The record is from RNAcentral.